Molecule: ribosomal RNA, 610 nt
Filed under: bacterium 67-L049640-122-012-C09
Lineage: Bacteria
Description: bacterial SSU rRNA
Rfam family: Bacterial small subunit ribosomal RNA
Source: RNAcentral
AGUCGAGCGAACUGAUUAGAAGCUUGCUUCUAUGACGUUAGCGGCGGACGGGUGAGUAACACGUGGGCAACCUGCCUGUAAGACUGGGAUAACUUCGGGAAACCGAAGCUAAUACCGGAUAGGAUCUUCUCCUUCAUGGGAGAUGAUUGAAAGAUGGUUUCGGCUAUCACUUACAGAUGGGCCCGCGGUGCAUUAGCUAGUUGGUGAGGUAACGGCUCACCAAGGCAACGAUGCAUAGCCGACCUGAGAGGGUGAUCGGCCACACUGGGACUGAGACACGGCCCAGACUCCUACGGGAGGCAGCAGUAGGGAAUCUUCCGCAAUGGACGAAAGUCUGACGGAGCAACGCCGCGUGAGUGAUGAAGGCUUUCGGGUCGUAAAACUCUGUUGUUAGGGAAGAACAAGUACGAGAGUAACUGCUCGUACCUUGACGGUACCUAACCAGAAAGCCACGGCUAACUACGUGCCAGCAGCCGCGGUAAUACGUAGGUGGCAAGCGUUAUCCGGAAUUAUUGGGCGUAAAGCGCGCGCAGGCGGUUUCUUAAGUCUGAUGUGAAAGCCCACGGCUCAACCGUGGAGGGUCAUUGGAAACUGGGGGAACUUGAGUGCA